Molecule: unclassified non-coding RNA, 203 nt
Filed under: Hevea brasiliensis (rubber tree)
Lineage: Eukaryota; Viridiplantae; Streptophyta; Magnoliopsida; Malpighiales; Euphorbiaceae
Source: RNAcentral
AGAGGAUGUCUUAUCAUUAAAUUACCUGACUGCAUAGAUACAUUUUUGAAUAAAAAUAUUAAAAUACUUGAUAGGGUGAGCCAGCGUGCAUAAAUUACUUCCCACACAUAAGUCACGUACAAGUGGUCUGUCACAUGAAAGGCUGAUCUUUCGGAAUCUUAAUACGUUCUGAAUCACCUGUAUUUGAGAAAAAAAAAAUCGAG